UUGUAGGUCAAGCUACAAAGGGCGCAUGGCGAAUGCCUUGGCGCUUGAGGCCGAUGAAGGACGCGGUUACCUGCGAAAAGAUCCGGGGAGUUGGUAGCAAACGGUGAUCCGGAUAUCUCCGAAUGGGGGAACCCAGCCGACGUAAGUUGGUUACCCGCACCUGAAUACAUAGGGUGCGCGGAGGGCACCGAGGGAACUGAAACAUCUCAGUACCUCGAGGAACAGAAAUUAUUCCCUUAGUAGUGGCGAGCGAAACGGGAAGAGCCCAAACCUGAUCCACGUGAUAGGCGUCAGCCGUUGUGGAUCGGGUGUCGUGAGGCGCGACGGCGGAUCUGACGAUCCGCGACGGAGUUCAAAAACGUGAUCGUUAGCGGAAGGUUGCCUGGAACGGCCCACCGAAGAGAGUGACAGUCUCGUACGCGAAAGCGAUCACGCUCCGGUCGAUGUCCUCGAGUACCACCCGGAAGGUCUCCAGGGUGGGAAACCGGGCAGACCAUUGUCCAAGGCUAAAUACCUCAAGCGACCGAUAGUGAACUAGUACCGUGAGGGAAAGGUGAAAAGCACCCCUGGCGGGGAGUGAAAUAGAAACUGAAACCGUGCGCCUACAAGCAGUCGAAGCGUGUUGCUGCGCAAGCAGUAGCGUGACGGCGUGCCUAUUGAAGAAUGAUCCGGCGAGUUAGCUGUAUGCGGCGAGGUUAAGGACUGACGUCCGGAGCCGAAGCGAAAGCGAGUCUGAAUAGGGCGUGGACCCAAAAGGUCCGUAGUCGCAUGCACUAGACCCGAAACCGCGUGAGCUACCCAUGGCCAGGCUGAAGCGGAGGUAAUACUCCGUGGAGGGCCGAACUCUUCAACGUUGAAAAGUUGAGGGAUGAGCUGUGGGUAGAGGCGAAAUGCCAACCGAACGCGGAGAUAGCUGGUUCUCCUCGAAAUAGUUCUAGGACUAGCGUUGCGCAUUCCCUCUUUGAGGUAGAGCACUGGAUGGGCUAGGGGGCUUACCGCUUACCAAACCCAACCAAACUCCGAAUGCGAAGAGGCGAAGCGUGGCAGUCAGUCUUCGGGGGCUAAGCUCCGGAGACAAAAGGGAAACAGCCCAGACCAACAGCUAAGGUCCCUGAAUCCAGGCUAAGUGGGAAAGGAUGUUGGAUCGCUCAGACAACCAGGAUGUUGGCUUAGAAGCAGCCAUCAUUGAAAGAGUGCGUAACAGCUCACUGGUCGAGUGAUCCAGCGCCGAAAAUCCAACGGGGCUCAAGCCUGGUACCGAAGCUUUGGAUGUGUGGAUCCUUCGGGGUCCAUGCGUGGUAGAGGAGCGUUCUCAGCGCAGUGAAGGUGGACCGUGAGGACCGCUGGAGUGCUGAGAAGUGCGAAUGCCGGAACGAGUAGCGAAACGCGUGUGAGAAACAUGCGCGCCGUAUGCCUAAGGUUUCCUGAGGAAGGUUAAUCCGCUCAGGGUCAGUCGGGCCUAAGACGAGGCCGAAAGGCGUAGUCGAUGGACAGCGGGUUUAUAUUCCCGCACCGCUCAAGA
RNAcentral lists this ribosomal RNA (1522 nucleotides) under Chloroflexota bacterium. RNAcentral describes it as "Chloroflexi bacterium partial 23S ribosomal RNA". It matches the Rfam family "Bacterial large subunit ribosomal RNA", at positions 1 to 1453 of the family's 2925-position model. The record is from RNAcentral. Lineage: Bacteria; Bacillati; Chloroflexota.